GGACGCAAGUCUGAACCAGCCAUGCCGCGUGAAGGAUUAAGGUCCUCUGGAUUGUAAACUUCUUUUAUANGGGACGAAAAAAGGUCUUUCUAGNCCCCUUGACGGUACCAUAUGAAUAAGCACCGGCUAACUCCGUGCCAGCAGCCGCGGUAAUACGGAGGGUGCAAGCGUUAUCCGGAUUCACUGGGUUUAAAGGGUGCGUAGGCGGGUAGGUAAGUCAGUGGUGAAAUCCUGGAGCUCAACUCCAGAACUGCCAUUGAUACUAUCUAUCUUGAAUAUUGUGGAGGUAAGCGGAAUAUGUCAUGUAGCGGUGAAAUGCUUAGAUAUGACAUAGAACACCCAUUGCGAAGGCAGCUUACUACGCAUAUAUUGACGCUGAGGCACGAAAGCGUGGGGAUCAAACAGGAUUAGAUACCCUGGUAGUCCACGCCCUAAACGAUGGAUACUCGACAUACGCGAUACACUGUGUGUGUCU
Molecule: ribosomal RNA, 475 nt
Filed under: uncultured bacterium
Lineage: Bacteria
Description: bacterial SSU rRNA
Rfam family: Bacterial small subunit ribosomal RNA
Source: RNAcentral